This 468-nucleotide ribosomal RNA is filed under the name uncultured bacterium. RNAcentral's name for it is "partial 16S ribosomal RNA". It matches the Rfam family "Bacterial small subunit ribosomal RNA", at positions 28 to 507 of the family's 1533-position model. The record is from RNAcentral.
GACGAACGCUGGCGGCGUGCUUAACACAUGCAAGUCGAACGGAAAGGCCCUGCUUUUGUGGGUUGCUCGUUUGGCGAACGGGUGAGUAACACGUGAGUAACCUGCCCUUGACUUUGGGAUAACUUCAGGGAACUGGGGCUAAUACCGGAUAUGAGCUCCUGCUGCAUGGUGGGGGUUGGAAAGUUUCGGCGGUUGUGGAUGGACUCGCGGCUUAUCAGCUUGUUGGUCGAGUAGUGACUUACCAAGUCUUUGACGGGUAGCCGGCAUGAGAGGUUGGACGGGGACCAUGCGACUACGAGACGGAGCAGUCGGCUAUGGGACGCAGCAGGGGAGAAUCUGACGGAAUGGCGGGACGUCAGUUGCGGAAACGCCGGGAGCGGGAUGCUGGCUUUCGAGUGGAAAACCGCUGUGGACGGAGAUGAAGAGAGAGUGACGGUAACGGGUAAAGAAGCACCGGCUAACUACGUG